This 482-nucleotide ribosomal RNA is filed under the name uncultured bacterium. Its description in RNAcentral is "partial 16S ribosomal RNA". It matches the Rfam family "Bacterial small subunit ribosomal RNA", at positions 30 to 507 of the family's 1533-position model. The record is from RNAcentral.
AUUGAACGCUGGCGGCAUGCCUUACACAUGCAAGUCGGACGGUAACGGGCCUUCGGGUGCCGACGAGUGGCGAACGGGUGAGUAAUACAUCGGAACGUGCCCGAUCGUGGGGGAUAACGAGGCGAAAGCUUUGCUAAUACCGCAUACGAUCUACGGAUGAAAGCAGGGGACCGCAAGGCCUUGCGCGGACGGAGCGGCCGAUGGCAGAUUAGGUAGUUGGUGGGGUAAAAGCUUACCAAGCCGACGAUCUGUAGCUGGUCUGAGAGGAUGAUCAGCCACACUGGGACUGAGACACGGCCCAGACUCCUACGGGAGGCAGCAGUGGGGAAUUUUGGACAAUGGGCGCAAGCCUGAUCCAGCCAUGCCGCGUGCAGGAUGAAGGCCUUCGGGUUGUAAACUGCUUUUGUACGGAACGAAAAGCCUUCUUUUAAUACAGGAGGGUCAUGACGGUACCGUAAGAAUAAGCACCGGCUAACUACGUG